AGACGUCUCUCGCCACACGUUUUGCACAAGAUACUUUUGGAAAACAGUAUAAACAGACAAUCGGGCUGGACUUCUUCCUUAAGAGAAUCACUCUGCCAGGUUUGGGACAUUGAAGGACAAACCAUCGGAGGAAAGAUGCUCGACAAGUACAUAUACAGAGCACAGGGCAUCCUCCUGGUUUAUGACAUCACUAAUUCUCAGAGUUUUGAGAAUCUUGAAGACUGGCUGAAC
Long non-coding RNA from Xyrauchen texanus (razorback sucker), 231 nucleotides. RefSeq lists it as uncharacterized. The transcript has 3 exons. Lineage: Eukaryota; Metazoa; Chordata; Actinopteri; Cypriniformes; Catostomidae. The record is from RefSeq and is a predicted model, not a curated record.